Molecule: ribosomal RNA, 237 nt
Filed under: uncultured bacterium
Lineage: Bacteria
Description: partial 16S ribosomal RNA
Rfam family: Bacterial small subunit ribosomal RNA
Source: RNAcentral
CGCACGGGUGAGUAACACGUAUCCAACCUGCCGUCUACUCUUGGACAGCCUUCUGAAAGGAAGAUUAAUCCAGGAUGGCAUCAUGAGUUCACAUGUCCGCAUGAUUAAAGGUAUUUUCCGGUAGACGAUGGGGAUGCGUUCCAUUAGAUAGUAGGCGGGGUAACGGCCCACCUAGUCUUCGACGGAUAGGGGUUCUGAGAGGAAGGUCCCCCACAUUGGAACUGAGGCACGGUCCAA